GAGGCUAUCCCUGUUACACAGCUUGUAAGGGAAAUUGCUGCUGUUAUGCAGGAGUUCACUCACUCCGGUGGCGUUCGUACUUUCGGAGUUUCACUACUGGUUGCUGGGUUUGACGACAAAGGUCCACAACUGUAUCAGAGUACUAACACCAGCUGAAAUUGAUGAUUACUUGGCUGAAGUGUAGUUCAUUUCCCUUUAAUGAAGAAACUGGAGAGAACUUUUAUUAUAGGGCAAGGACUGGUUGAGUUAUUCGAUUUAUACUGGUCCUUGUUACUGCAAAAUGCCUUGUUUGUCAUGAUGAUCUACUUAAUUAUAUGUACUUGUACACUUCCCC
Long non-coding RNA from Quercus lobata, 334 nucleotides. RefSeq lists it as uncharacterized. The transcript is spliced from 3 exons. NCBI's taxonomy places the organism in Eukaryota, Viridiplantae, Streptophyta, Magnoliopsida, Fagales, Fagaceae. The record is from RefSeq and is a predicted model, not a curated record.